AUUGAACGCUGGCGGCAGGCCUAACACAUGCAAGUCGAACGAGUGGCGGACGGGUGAGUAAUGUCUGGGAAACUGCCCGAUGGAGGGGGCUAACUACUGGAAACGGUAGCUAAUACCGCAUACCAUCGGAUGUGCCCAGAUGGGAUUAGCUAGUAGGUGGGGUAACGGCUCCCCUAGGCGACGAUGCCUAGCUGUUCUGAGAGGAUGACCAGCCACACUGGAACUGAGAAACGGCCCAGACUCCUACGGGAGGAAGCAGUGGGAAAUAUUGCACAAUGGGCGAAAGCCUGCUGCAGCAAUGCCGCUGGUAGGAAGAGGGCCUUGGGGUGGUAAAGUACUUUAAGUGAGGAGGCGGUACUCGCAGAAGAAGCACCGGCUAACUCCGUGCCAGCAGCCGCGGUAAUAC
This 406-nucleotide ribosomal RNA is filed under the name uncultured bacterium. Its description in RNAcentral is "partial 16S ribosomal RNA". It matches the Rfam family "Bacterial small subunit ribosomal RNA", at positions 30 to 526 of the family's 1533-position model. The record is from RNAcentral.